AAAUGAGGACUUCUUACUAGAACUAGAUAAGUCUCAAUGUUCUUGAAGCAAGAAUAGAAGCCGCCUAGCUGUGGUGAUUCAUGCCUGUACCCUACCCCUGGGUGAGGCAAAAGAAUCACACGUUCAAGGCCAGCCUGGGCUUCAGUAAAACAUUGCCAAAGACAGAUUGGGGGUGGUGGUACAGAGGUAGCUAUAUAACCAACUUGAUCUAAAAAGUUAAAUAAAGUAAAAACAUCAGAAUUGUGUUUAUAUAAGUGUUUCCUAUACAACAAAAUACCGAGCUUGUACUCACAAGAACCACACAUACUUUGUUCUUUGCUCUAGGCUCUUGCCAUUUGGGAAAGCUUGUUUUUAAAGCACCAUCCAGUGGGUUCCCUGGCUCCUUGUCAUCUUUCUUUUUCAUUCUUUCUAGGUUCUACCUAGAAGAAACAUUUCUUUUAAUCUUUGUCUUUCUCUUAUAAUUUUCUUCUUUUGAUGAUGUUCCAUUUAAGAAAUGUGUAUUACUGUGUGUGUUAGGUGUUAGACAUUACAAAUCGUUGCAUGUUUAAAACCUUUCCAUCUUAGUAUCACACAUGAGUGGUACAUUGCCAGAGUAAUAGUCUCAAGGUUGAAGCUGUUCUCCGGCCUCCAGUCUCGCUCAUUGUUGGGGCAGGUGAGUGUAUGCUGUGGUGCACAUUUGAAGGUCAUAGGACAACCUGGCAGUCUGUUUUCACCUCCUGCCUUGUUGAGAUAGGGUCCUCUUUCUUUCUGCCACACUGCUUACGCCGGAGUACCUGCCCAUGCGCUUCUAGGCAGUCCUGUCUCCCAGUACAAGUGCUGGCUGGGGUCAUGUGUUAAUCACACCGAGUGCUUUUAAAUGGGUUCCAAGGAUUGAACCCAGAACUCAGGUCGUCAGGCUGGCAGGAAUAGUGCUUUUACGCACCAACCCAUCUCACUCAGACCUCCAUUGCUUUUUGUUUUGUUUUAUCAUUUUCUUUUCUUUGUUCUUUUGAGACAGGAUCUCAUUAAGCCCAGACUGCCCUACACUUCAUACAUAGCUGAGAACAACUUUGAAUGCCUCAUCCUCCUGCCUCCACCUCUCGCAUGUUGGCUGUCUUACUGUUCUGUUGGUAUGCAGAGACGCCGUGAUCAAGGCAAAUUAUAAAACAUUAUUUGUUGGCUUGCUUAAGUUCCAGAGGAUCACCUCAAGCUGGCCUAUGUUUCAAAUGAUACUGGAAUCUUCAAGCAUCUGGCUGUUGACGAGCUUGUUAAGUUCAUAGUCACAAUUGCCUCCAAAUUGCAGUUUUUGCUCUGCAAGCUUGGGCAGUUCCUUAAGAGGCCCUGGUAGUGGGUUAGAGGAUGAAUUAUAUUCUGCCAGGAUUUCCCAGAGCUGCCAACUUCAUGAAAAAUGUCUAUGAAAUCUGAAAAUUUGGUAUAAUAAAUUACAACUUCAUCUUUUCAUCUUCCUUAAAUUGUUUCAUUUCACUACAACAAUUUUGAAGUAUUUGUUGGCAACCCUACCAUUGUGAGAUAUAUAACAUACACAAAUUUACCUGAAAACUUUUUACUUCUAAUUUAGAUGAAGUUGCUAAGUAAGGGAUUUUUAAUACUUGGUUUACUUCCAACAAGUCCAUUUAAACUUGAUAUGGUACAGAAAAAAAAAAACAAACAAACAAAAAACACAACCUGGUUUCUCUUCAAUAGCAAUACAGUACAAGAGUUAGGGAGGAAGUAUAUAGUUUAUUAAAAUGACUAAAGGUUUACUAAUUCUUUAAAAAAGGAAGAACUUUU
Molecule: non-coding RNA, 1770 nt
Organism: Peromyscus maniculatus bairdii (prairie deer mouse)
Lineage: Eukaryota; Metazoa; Chordata; Mammalia; Rodentia; Cricetidae
Source: RefSeq, a predicted model, not a curated record